This 135-nucleotide ribosomal RNA is filed under the name uncultured bacterium. Its description in RNAcentral is "partial 16S ribosomal RNA". It matches the Rfam family "Bacterial small subunit ribosomal RNA", at positions 118 to 255 of the family's 1533-position model. The record is from RNAcentral.
UGGGCAACCUGCCCCUAGCUCUGGGAUAACUCCGGGAAACCGGGGCUAAUACCGGAUACGACCUCGAGCGGCAUCUCUUGAGGUGGAAAGUUUUUCGGCUAGGGAUGGGCCCGCGGCCUAUCAGCUUGUUGGUGG